GAUGAAGAACGUAGCGAAAUGCGAUAAGUAAUGUGAAUUGCAGAAUUCAGUGAAUCAUCGAAUCUUUGAACGCACAUUGCGCCCCCUGGUAUUCCGGGGGGCAUGCCUGUUCGAGCGUCAUUUCACCACACAAGCCUCGCUUGGUAUUGGGCGACGCGGUCCGCCGCGCGCCUCAAAUCGACCGGCUGGGUCUUCCGUCCCCUCAGCGUUGUGGAAACUAUUCGCUAAAGGGUGCCGCGGGAGGUCACGCCGCAAAACAACCCCAUUUCUAAGGUUGACCUCGGAUCAGGUAGGGAUACCCGCUGAACUUAAGCAUAUCAAUAAGCGGAGGA
This 332-nucleotide unclassified non-coding RNA is filed under the name soil metagenome. RNAcentral's name for it is "partial contains 5.8S ribosomal RNA, internal transcribed spacer 2, and large subunit ribosomal RNA". The stretch from base 1 to 120 matches the Rfam family "5.8S ribosomal RNA", at positions 35 to 154 of the family's 154-position model. The record is from RNAcentral.